RNAcentral lists this ribosomal RNA (665 nucleotides) under uncultured fungus. RNAcentral's name for it is "eukaryotic LSU rRNA". The stretch from base 457 to 665 matches the Rfam family "Eukaryotic large subunit ribosomal RNA", at positions 1 to 209 of the family's 3401-position model. The record is from RNAcentral. Lineage: Eukaryota; Fungi.
UUUUCUCCCCGCCCUGUCUGAACAUUACCCAUGCUUUUUGCGUACCCAUUGUUUCCUCGGCAGGCUUGCCUGCCAGCAGGACCCCUUUAAAACCUUUUGCAAUUGCAGUCAGCGUCAGAGAAAAAAAACUUAAUAGUUACAACUUUCAACAACGGAUCUCUUGGUUCUGGCAUCGAUGAAGAACGCAGCGAAAUGCGAUAAGUAGUGUGAAUUGCAGAAUUCAGUGAAUCAUCGAAUCUUUGAACGCACAUUGCGCCCCUUGGUAUUCCAUGGGGCAUGCCUGUUCGAGCGUCAUUUGCACCCUCAAGCUUUGCUUGGUGAUGGGUGUUUGUUCCGCUGCAACGCGUGAACUCGCCUCAAAUCAAUUGGCAGCCGGCAAUCUGGUGUUUGAGCGCAGCACAUUUUGCGCUCUUCGCUGUGUAUUGCGGGCGUCCAUGAAGCCUAUAUUUUCGCGCUUGACCUCGGAUCAGGUAGGGAUACCCGCUGAACUUAAGCAUAUCAAUAAGCGGAGGAAAAGAAACCAACAGGGAUUGCCCUAGUAACGGCGAGUGAAGCGGCAACAGCUCAAAUUUGAAAUCUGGCUCUUUUAGAGUCCGAGUUGUAAUUUGCAGAGGGCGCUUUGGCGUUAGCAGCGGUUCAAGUUCCUUGGAACAGGUCGUCACAGA